ACACUUUAAACAGCCACCCUGGAACAGUGAUUGCUACUGAUAACCAGUGGAUGUAUUUCAUCAGCGAUGAACAUUUAUCUCCCAACAUUUAUCUCCCAACAUGGUAGAAACUCUGUGAGAGAAUUGCAUACCCAUACGGAGUCUGAAAACAGAUACUUCGGUAGGGGGUGGUGAUGGAGAACUGCACACAGUACUCCAGCACACAAGCCACUGCUGCUAAUUCAGCAUAUUGAACCAAACGUGGAAUACAUGAAUAUGCCUUCUCCCAGUGCUCUCCUUUCUCCUCGGGAGGAACUGCAUAGAUUCCAAACCCGGUAUAAGGUUUGCCUUGAUCAUAAUAACUACAACUGUCAACAAAGAAAUGAUACCUAAUAAUGGAAUCUGUCUCCUGGAUCAAUGGUUGGAAAAGCUUUUGUUUUUCCUCCGCCUUAGAUCCAAUUGAUCAAGAUCAGGACACAUGCGACUCUCUUUCAUAUUUUGUCGGGCAGUUGAUAACAAAAAUGGUGUCCUAAUAGGUUUUACUGCAAUAUCUUUCCCUUGCAGCAGUAAUGCCCAGUGGGCUAGGCGAGCAUCUGAGACUUGCCCAUCUUUUACCCUAUUGAACAGUAAGAACUGAAGGGGAGUGUGUGAUAAGUGUAAUACGAUCGGGCUCAGGCCAAUUAGAAAAGAAAAGUGUUGUAUGGCUCAACUGGUUGCCAAUAGGUACUUUUCACAAUUGUUAUACUUAAGUUCAAUUGAUGACAUUUAAAUGUGAGGCACAGGCCACAGGUCCGAUUUUCCCACACUCACCACUACCUCCAGAUGAUAGGGUAUUUCAGGAUUUGGAGUGAUCAACACCGGAGCCUUGACAAUGGCCUGUUUUAGCUGGGAUACUACUUCCGUGUGUUGCUCAGACCAUUUCCAUUGGAUGCUUUUCUUUAAUAGUUGGUACAAGGGACCUGCAAUGGAAGCAAAAUUGGGAAUGAAAUUCCUGUAAUACCCAGUAAACCCAAAAAGGAUCUUAAAGUCAUUGGGUCCAGUGGUAAUGGCAAUGUUUGGAUUGCAUCUACUUUCUGUUGUGCCGCGGUUCUACCCCAUUUUGUCAGGGUGAGACCCAAGAAAGAGACACGGUUAGCCAUUAGCUGUGCCUUGGCCAGAUUGCACUUUAACCCUGCUUCCUUUAGGAUCUGUAGGAGCUCAUCAAGCCUUUCUAGAUGCUCCUUUUUAGUCCGUGUUGCUAGACACAGGUCAUCUACAUAUUGAAACAGAACAGUUGGUUUAGAAAAUUGAGACAAUACCUGCCUUAUUUGCGCAUGGAAUAAAGCUGGAGAAUGUUUAUACUCUGGGGUAAACGUGUCCAGGAAUAUUAGACUCCCUGGAAACGAAAUGCAAAACGGUACUGUGAAAUGUGCGCCAAUGGCAAUGUCCAAAAGCUGUUACUGAUGUCAAGGACAGUAAACCACACAGCCUCUGGAUCAAAGGACUUGAUUAAAUCUGGCAUCUUAGCCACUGUCGGGGCACAAGUGGGUGUGACCUGAUUCAGGCGUCUAUAAUUAAUUUUGAGAUGCCAAAAACCAUUUGGUUUCUUCAUGGGCCAAAUAGGGGAAUUGGCAGUGCAAGUACAUCUACGUAGUAUUCCCUGUGUCAGUAAAGACUUGAUAGUCUUUUCUAUGUAUGCGUUUGCCUGUUCUGGGCAAGGAUAUUGUCUUUGGGCUGAUAUAUCUUCUCCUUCUACAACAAUAGUGACUACCAUACAUUCACAAUUAUGUUUGUGUUUAGCAAAGGCCUCUGCAUGCUUGCUAAGUAACUCCUGUAACUCAGGUUGGUCUGCAUGGUUAGCCGCUAUUUUGUUUAAUUCAUAACCCUCAGGUUCAGAGUCCACCAUUGGAGAUACCAUGCCACUGUCAGGUAUGAUCACUGGUGAGUUAUUCUUUGCCUGUUCUACAGUAAGGCACAACAAUUGGUUACCCAAAUUAAGAACAUAUCUGUUUGGAAAUUAGGAAAUUAGUUCCCAACAGGCAAUUCCUUGGGUCUGCUAAUUUCAUCAACGCAAAGGUAUGAACCUUUCUUAGGUGACCUAUCUGUACUUCAAUGGGUAUAGAAAGCAUGGUAACAACCUGAUUACUUGCAAAAGUUGCAAGUAUUUUUGUAGGCCCUGAUGACAGAGAAGAGAAUCUAGGAUCCUUAAAAUGGAUAAUACUGAUUGCUGCCCCAGUAUCUAUAAUAAAAUUCCUGUGUGGCCCCCUACCACUUCAGAUACUGGGGUCUCUUGCUUGCAUCUCUGUCUAAAGGGGCUAUGACUACGCUCGCAGUUGAUUGGCAUCAUGCCAAUUUGUGGAGUAUGCAGACAAAUCAUCUACAGGCUCUCCUAUCUCUUCGGAGGCAGCCAACUCUGGAGGAGAGGCUGUCCACCGGAGAGAAGAAAAUGGGUCAAUGGAGGCCACUGGACAGUUUUAGGGUGCUGGGCCUUGGUCUUCCAUCAUCAGCUCAUUCACGCAUGCUUGGAGUUCUCGAAUAUCCCGUUGUUGAGCCUCAAGCGUCUGCUGCACUGUUUUAAACAUCAUUACAACUGAGUCCUCAUCUUUGUGGAGAGGUGGUGACUUGGGUCUUUGCAGGUGUGAAGUAUUCUGUGUGGCAUCUGAAAAGAAAGGAACACAAUCCCGGGCCCCUAGAUAGGAUCCAAAUGCAUAAUCCUGUUGAGGAGCACACCCACUUGAAGAUCCAGGAUUAUUAUGUGGGUUAGGGUCAUUUUACCAACGCUGGUACUUAGGAAAUUUAGGAAACCCUCAACCUAACCCUGGUUGAGGUCCCUCAAUCCUCACAUUAAUCCUCAUAUUAAUCCUGGGAUUAAUUUGUGGUUCGUGAAGUAUUGCAACAGGGGUCCCCGCCAACCUAUUUUAGGGCCUCCUUGAAAAUAUGCCUUGGCCAGUAAGGCUAAUACCUCUUUAAACAAAUGUCAUCAGUUAUAUGCAUGUUAACCAUUUCCCGUAAAUAGGGAAGAGAGUUAUUAACCAACAAACUAACGUAUGGUGGCUCAUCUGUUUCCUCUUUCAUGUGACUGUGCCAUGCUGCACUUAACCGCAGGCGAAAUUGAUGUGGGGACUCAUUAAAUCUCUGCUUUAGGUUAGAGAGGAUGGCCACACCAGCUUUCCCUGGAUGUUGAUUGUGUUCCAAUAAGGCUACUGUGGCAAAGUACUCCAUAAUGCUUGAUUUAUUGUGCGUUGUAAGAUUUUAACUCAAUCUUCCCUUGGUAAGCCAAACACUUCUGCUGUUUCUUGUACACAUUGUGAAUGCAUUGCAACUGAAGAAUCCUCCAUCAUCCCUACUUGCUUAGCUACCAGAUCUAGGGUCUUAAUGUCUGUAACUGCUGCUACAGGACAAUCAGAAUUAGAAUCUGAGGAUCUUCUCUCCGGAUCAGGAUCUUGACUUCUAUCUGAGCUCGAAUCUAUAACUUCUCCGUUUUGACUUCUUCUACCCAAAUUCAUGUUUUCCUCAUCUGAGUUAUCAGAACUUUCCACUGGAGAUAAUCCUGAAUGAGCAGGAUAAUUUUCCAUAAAACCUCUAUGUCCUAUACUCAAGGCAUCUCCACACUGAUGCAGGACAUCUCUUAGUCUGUUAAGGUCUGGUGUAGUAGGAUGUUCUACCCGUACACCAGGUGAUACCAGCAUAUACCAAGGGAGUGUAGAGGGGCCACGAAAUUCUCAGGACCUAGGCAAGGUUGAUGAUUGCUCAAAUGCCAAUAAAUGUCCACCCAAAGGGGCUGGAUCUCCUGAUCUAUAUGGUGCUAGUGUAACACUGGGUGGAGAAGCAGGAAUUACAUUCCUUGGUUGUUGUAUCUCUCACUGUUGUAACUUAGAGAUUACUACAUCACAUGCACUAGCUACUUGUGUCACUUGUAACACUGCAUCUUCUAGUCCCUGAACAAUCACAGUCUCUAAAGGCACUCCCUCUUCACUGCUACAGUAGGACACUAACAGAGGAGAGGAUAUUUCCUCCCCCUUUGCUCUGUUCAUCUCAUCCUUUACAUCACUAGUCGCCUCCUCUAUGAUGCCACUCAACUCUGCCUCCUGUGGUGCCACCUUGGGACUUCCUUUUUUCUGUCUGCGGACUGCUGGUAGCUUCUGCACUGCUACUUUCCUCUUCUGACCCUCCCAGUGGCUCCUCAGACUCAAUCUCCAACUCCGCUCCUAAAGGUUCUGCAUCAGCCUGAGCUAAUUCUCUCGCCCUAUUUCUAGUAAUUGGCCCUGCAGGUUUUUCUAUCGCCGUUGGUUCUACCAUGCCAAUAGGGAUGGGAAUAGAUUCCUUAUCCUCCUUUUUUCCAACUCUCUGAUUCUUUCCAACAGUGUCGAUGGUCUGAUUUAUAGCCCUCCAGCGAUUUUAAGCUGGCAUCCAAAGUUUGCUGGGCUUUCCUGAGUAACUCUAAUUUUUUAUUCAGUUUCUUUCCCAGCGAAUUACAAGCCACGAGCAGACAUUCAACAGCUAUUCCCUUUACCAGUUUAGCCUUUCCUUUUUUCUGCUCUGUUUCUACAUCAAAUACCUCACUCACAAAACCCCAUGGGUUACAAUGCUCAGAGAUCAUCUCGCUAUUCUUCAACUGUUCUAAACCUCCUCCAUGUUGCUGAAUGUAUUUUUUAUGGCAAAGUUUUCUAAAGCCAUACUACGAGCAACUCCAACAGACUCUACUCUUUCCCUUGCUCCACUCACCUUAAUACGUAACACAGAAUUCAUUUUAAUUCUAAAACUUCACUAGCUUAUGUAAUAAACUAUAACGAAUACUCUGCUGUUUUUACUCUGAAACUGAAGGCGUCCCUUCACAGAAACAACAGGAAACAAUACCCCAAACCAGUUUUUACACUUAGUUCAAUAAGUCCCAAAUGAAUGAUAGAGAGGUGGGGGUACAUUCCCUCUCUUUCCUCGAUGGCUCGUAGCUGAUCGAGAGGUCUUUUCCCUCUGUCGGGAUCUGCCAAACAGCUGGGGAAUACUGAAGCAGAUGGAUCAGAGGUGCAUCCCAGGAGAGUUUAGGGGACUGAAAUAAGGAGCUCGAACCGUUCAAGUUCUGAAUUAUUGCAGCUUCUUGGCAGCAAUUAAUAACUAGGUUUAUCAACUCCCCCGCCACCACUAGUGUGGGUCAUUGGACCCAAUCCUACUGCUAAUAUCUUAUCAGUACCAUUCAUUACAACUUCAACCUUUAACAAAGCCCCUUAAAAGCGCAUAACACGUUAAAUAAUAACACUAUUUACUGUUUAUAAUAUUACUCUUUAUCUUGCAAGAUUAAAUUUAAAACCUCUAAAGUAAAAUUCUAAAUCAAACCACAAUACAGAACCAGAAAUACUGGGACUGCUGCCAAGCCACAGUCACAGGAAAUCAGGCUCCUGUUCUCUUAAGAGUGAGUGAGACACACAAUGUUGCUCUCUAACUUUCUGUAAAUUUAACCAUUUACUUAUGCCUCAGGUGAGAUUUUCAGGAGUCUAAGGAUGCCUGGAAUCCCUGAAAAUUCCUGUCACACACUUCUCGAGUCUCCUGGCUGGCUCACCAGUAUGUAGCCUGAUUUAGGGUGUGUUAAUAUUAUUAAUUUGGAUAAUAUGGGUUUUUGGCUCACCAAUCUGUUUGAUCAGAAGUUAAAAGUUCUUGUCUCAAAUCAGGCUCCACAGAAUUUACAAAGGACCCUUGGGGGUGUGACAGGAAGCUCACACUGAGACAGAUAUAGCCGUAAAGACUUUUUAUUAAAAUCAAUGAAAUAGUAAGUAAAUGGUAAAAUAAUCAGAGUUACAAAGUUACAGCUGUAUUACUGUUAUUCAAAAUAUACAUAUGGUAAUACAGUAUUAUAUGCUACAAAGCUUUGGUUAAUAUACUCACACCCUUCCUUGAUGACCUGGUGGUGAGAGACACAGGACCAGCCCCGCCUCUAACAGUUCAGGUUUCUCAACUCUUGAGUGAGUGGUGCAGAGCUUAGAAGAAACUAAUGCUAAGAGCUAUCAAAGCGAACUUAGAGUUUACUUAACUAACUUAAACUUAAAACCUAAUAAACAAAACUAAGAACAAAAGUUUAGGGAAACCAAGCUUAGCCUAGUCCCCUUGGAACUUAAAGUUU
Molecule: long non-coding RNA, 6070 nt
Organism: Dermochelys coriacea (leatherback sea turtle)
Lineage: Eukaryota; Metazoa; Chordata; Testudines; Dermochelyidae
Exons: 2
Source: RefSeq, a predicted model, not a curated record